GAUGCCAGUAGUGUUUUUGAUUCCAUAAAGGGACAACACUUGAAACACUUGCAGGAGUGGUUUCCCUGGUAGAUCCAGAGGUGGAUCAAUCAAGGCCUUUCCUAUGACCAUAAAACCAUUGCGAAACAGUAAGAGACAUGGGGAGCUGCUAGGAGAUCAACAAUUUGAUGCUAUUUAGUUGAGGUCAGGUCUUUGGUGAAUGGAGAUGUUUUUAAGCUCUAUAUUUUGUUGCUAAAUGUUGCUAAUGUUCCAAUUUUUUGGUGUGAGUAUGUUAGGAGUUGUUUUGAUAGGUUUUUGAUGUAUACAGCUAGGGAAUUUUAUGUUUUUUUUGGUGUGAUGUAAUGAGAGAUACUCUUCAUUUUAUUCUUUGGUUGGGGAUUUUGAUGAUUAUCUGUAAGUAGAUUGUAAUCACCCAUUUUUUCAAGAAUGUAUUGCUCGGUUGGGGUCUUCUUUCAAGACUCAAUCCUUUCUCUUAAGAAGACAUGAGAAGAGCUUGACUUCAUAGUGAUUAACCGAUGCUAGAUAAUUGUCUAUGCUACUUGACAUGUAUUUU
Molecule: long non-coding RNA, 553 nt
Organism: Asparagus officinalis (garden asparagus)
Lineage: Eukaryota; Viridiplantae; Streptophyta; Magnoliopsida; Asparagales; Asparagaceae
Exons: 3
Source: RefSeq, a predicted model, not a curated record